ACCAGGCCUAGAGGGGGGAUAUACAAGCCAGAAUCGCUUGGGCUCAGCCAAAGCCCAAAAUAGAGAAUAAGAAGGAAUCAAAGAUCCAUUCCCCUCAUCUCCACUAAUGCUCAGCCGCAGCCACGAGAGGAAGGAACAGGUCACAAUGGACCUAGUCGCGCCGGCUCCAUCACCGGCGGCGGCGUCUCCUCAAGACGACCUCCCGCGUCAUCUCACUCUCAGUCCCACCUCUCUCUCCCUAAGCACAACCGACAAAGACGGAUAUGAAGCAAACAACGAAUGCAAAAUCGUACCAAACUACAUCACAAUGACCCAUCAAUCAACGUUCAAAGAAGAAAAGUAGCCUACCGACGACGAAAGCGACGACUUCGUCGACAACAUCAAUCUCACAACUCCGGCUCUUUAUUUUCUUGUGGUGAUUCGGUUCGUAUCCUAAGCAGUAAUUAGUGUGUUCGAUGAAGAUUGGAUCGUGAUGCGGGGAUUUUCCGGUUAUUGGCGGUUCGGCGAAGAUUGAAGCAGAUGGGGGAAGAGUUUUUAGCAGAGAAAAGUGAGGGAGAAGAGUUCUGGAAGAAAGGUUCGAGCGAGAGCCCCAUUUCACUCCAUCAACUGUGUUUAUAUAGACUUUUGAUUUGAGAUUGGAUGAGAUUUUGAAUUGAUGUUGCACCACGUUUCAAUUGUAACUCUGUGUUUUAAUUUCUCAUUUGCCGUUUACACGCUGGAACGUCGUUUCAAUUGGUUACAACUUGUUGUCGUUGACGCUUUGUAGCUGCGUUCUACUCUUUGCAAGUUCAUGUUGUUUGGCUGCGUUACUUGUUGCAACUUAGAGUUUUCCGUUUUC
This is a long non-coding RNA of Lathyrus oleraceus (garden pea), 838 nucleotides long. RefSeq lists it as uncharacterized. The record is from RefSeq and is a predicted model, not a curated record. The transcript is spliced from 2 exons. NCBI's taxonomy places the organism in Eukaryota, Viridiplantae, Streptophyta, Magnoliopsida, Fabales, Fabaceae.